Vespa velutina is the source of this 5892-nucleotide long non-coding RNA. RefSeq lists it as uncharacterized. The transcript has 5 exons. The record is from RefSeq and is a predicted model, not a curated record. Lineage: Eukaryota; Metazoa; Arthropoda; Insecta; Hymenoptera; Vespidae.
AUAUCAUCGACGAACGUACGUAAGAGGAUGAACUGGAAAGUUCCCGAUAUAACAGGAAUUGCGUGCAUGAUAUAUUUAUUGAAGUCUUACGAUUUAUAACUUGGCAGAUAAGCAGCUUUUAUUGCUCUCGUUUUGUAUCGUCCUUCGAUUCUGUUAUUCGCGUGUCAAUACUUGGAGACUUCCGAAGACAAGUUUGAUUGCUGAUAAAGAAGAUUGGUGAUAUAACCGAAAUUCCGACGUCGUCUAAUCGACUGGUCAAUUUUUUCAUGCAGAGCACGUCGGUGUCCCCGAGAAGAGACGGAAGUGACAGGGAGGCUCGAGUAAUCGGUCGCGACCACCUAUGGCGGCCGCGAGCUUUCCACCGAAUUUCACGAACGUCGGCGUCAUAGAGAACUGCCCCACCUCGAGCUCCUUGGAAUCGAUACGGUAUCGGGCUCGACAAUGGGGCCAGAAACUCGAUGGUACGACGAAGGACGAACUUUGCUAACGAUCGCGUCGGACGAUAUCUCUGCCAGGAGAUAUACCUCAAUGACAUGAUCUCGUGGCUGUGCCGUUUACAAACAGAUUCGUAAUAAAAGACCUCUUUAGCGCAGAGCUUUGCUCUUUGAGCUUUGUCACCUUUCCUUUCUUUUCGAUUCGAUACGACCGCAGUAAGAGAGAGAGAGAGAGAGAGAGAAUGGAUAAAAAUCUGAUAAAAAGUGAACAAAAUAAUGUUGGACAGCCAACGAUUACGUAUUUAUAAGCACGUGUCGCAAGUAAGUGGUGGAUAAAAUUACGCAAAGCAGCGGAAAGCGAUAAGCGCGCGAGAAAGAGAGGGAAAAUGCGAUAAGAAGGAAAAUCUCGCAAAGUCUCAACGGAGAGCAAGCGAGCGAGAGAGAGAGAGAGAGAGAGAGAGAGAGAGAGAGAGAAGGAAGGAUGGAAGUUAAGUGAGUGUUCCGGCAACGAAGGGUGAGGUCGAACGAGACUAAGGGUGAGAAGAGUAUGUAGUGGUAGUAGUAGUAGUAGCAGUGGCAGCCAGUAGUAAAGACCGGCUCGUGUCUGGCACGCCGUACCACCCGGUGCAACUCGUCGUGACGAGAAUACGUUCUACUACCGACCAGAGAACCAUUUUCGAUCUCUCUCUCUCUCUCUCUCUCUCUCUCUCUCUCUCUCUCUCGCUCCCUUCCUCUUCAAAAGGAUGAUCAACCGAGCGCCAUUUUACGUUUUACAGGUUAACAUUUACUUAAUCGAAUCCUCGAAAUGUUACGAAAGAAAUUUUUUUCCUUCUCAAAAAUAUAAGACUUUUAAAGAACUAAUGUUAAUUAGUGCGUUGCUAGCGACUAGUAGGAGAGUAGAUGCGGUUGUAAAAAACAAAGAUCCUUUUACACGUAACAGAUUUCUCGUGAAAACUAUGUAGUCAAUUCUUUCCUGUCACGUAGCUACCUGUUAUUCGCGUUUGCGACGCGAGAAGAGAAUGAUAAAAUGAAUCUUCGUAAGUAAGAGGCCUUUCGGGCUCGUAGCCUCGAGGUGAGAAUGUUCCGAAGUAGUAGCUAGCUCGCGCUCGUUAUUUUACAGUACUUACGACUUUCUCUCUCUCUCUCUCUCUCUCUCUCUCUCUCUCUCUCUCUCUCUCUCUCUCUCUCUCUCUCUUCGAGCCACGAGAGAGAACAGAGUUUACGCUCGGUAAGUCACGGAAUUUAUGGGAUCGCAGAAUUUAUAGUUUCAAUUUCCGUGAUAUUCAAACGGCGCUAGCUGCCAGUGGCGAUCGCUUAAAAUUCGAACUCGACUGCGCCUAUUAAUCGUUCCUUCAUUUUCGAUAUUCCAAUGCGAGUUAAUGCUCGCAAAGAUAGUAAGCCCGUAAUUAUCUUUUUUCUCUGUAAAACGAGAAGAGAUCUUUCCUAUCGGUUUUCACCUCUGUCCGACGUAAACGAUACGUUUGAUGAAACAUGGAUAUUUUUUAUGUUCGUCCGUUACUUAUGUUCCCGUUCCGUGUAUUAAAGAAAAGUUCCAUUUGGUGAAAUUGCAAACGGUCGGCUUUGUCGACACAAAAUCGUUACCGCGUUUGUUUCAUUCCCUUCUUCCAUCUCUCUUUCUCUCUCUCUCUUGUACGACCCGCAGCACUUGUUAAGAGCUCCCUCGGAUGAGUUCCUUUGUAAAAUAACCCAGAUAGCUUUCACCGAGGCCGAGUUACACGGUUUAACGAUCGCGGCCGAAUGUGCGUGGCCGAUGUAGUUGCGGCAUCUAUCUAUCCUACGCGCGUAUACGUAUGAGAACGCGAAAAGUGCAGCGACGUGCACUGGAACGUUCUAAUCGUUCUGUAAUAGGUAUGUCAUUUUUUAGAUAGCUCUCUAGUAUCUUUGUAAAUUGAUCGCGAAAACUUUGCUACUUUGCUACUUUGGUACUCUCUCCGCGCGUUAGUCCGUCUACCGGUUCGUUGCUCCUCGGCGACGCGAUAGACGAGGUAAAUUGAAUUUGCGUAAUAAAGUUGCUACGACCGCACUGCCGUCCUCAUCCUCCCUAUGCAUCGGGGAGUAUAUAUAUAUAUAUAUAUAUACAUAUACAGCGAGAAUAUAAAGGGAAACACGUGGCUAGAGGGUGAACGACGCGAUUCCAGUCUCUAGAAGGACAGGGAAGCACGAUGAGUGCCGUCGAACGGGUCACCCCCAGGUGUCUCCUCUCUUUCUCUCUCUCUCUCUCUCUCUCCCUCUCUCUCGAACGAACGAACGAAUCCUCUUAAAGGGAGCUCGUAUUGCAGAGAGGAAACACAGCGAGUGAACGCUUCCUGCUUUUUGUUCGCAACGACUCGAGUGGAAUUCGUUUCGCGCGCGCGCGAUUUUUACAUUCCGCUCCGACGUCUUUCUUGCCCCGUUCGAUCGACUUUUCCAUAUGUAUGCGCCCAUUUCGCGGGAAUCUUUAAUCGGAAUAGGUACGAUCUCGCGACGGCGUUGAUUUCAAAGUAGAAAAGUUAUACUCUCGUUGAGAAUCGAGCUUUUAUUUCUUUCUUCUCUUUUUUCGCUUGAUACAACGUAACCGCAUAGAGUUGCGUAUAUUUACCGAAUAAGGUCAACGCAUUCACCUUGAGACGUUCCUCGCACGCUCGGAAUCUGUCCGACGAUUUGGAGGUUGGCCAGCUAUUUCCGAUCGUGACCUAUCGGCUUACCGUGUGGUCCACGAAAGAAAAUGGAAGAAAGAAAUGGACGGAGGGAAAAGGAAAGAAGGAUAAAAAAAAUAUCCGACGUUGAUUGGCUGGCUCGUAGAGUAGUUCGUCUAAGAGACGUUGCGAUAUAUCUCGCCGAGAGAUAAUAAUUCCGUCGAACGUUCUCCUACGAGCGCAUAAACCCACGAACUGUAUGCGUCUUACGGUUGCAUAACUCAUGGCGUCGACCCACCGCCGUCGCUUUACCGGUUUCGCCCCACGUACUUGGUUAUUUACUCUUUGCACGAACGCUUACCACAUGUAACGAACGCUUGCUUCCCUCUCUUUUCUUUUCAUAUCUUCUUUUUUUCUUUUUUUCGCGAACACGUGCCGUCAUCUCCUUCGUCGUCCGACGAAGCGUUAACGGUCUCGUAGCGGUCGCAAAGUCUCGAACGAAUAAAAUCUGAUUUCAUCGUUUUGCGUUUACUCUUUCCGUUCGCGAAAAAUGUUUCAUUAAACGAUCUCCACGGAGCGAGCGAGAUUUCCCGUGUAAAUCGCGCGCGCGCGCGCGCGCGCACGCUUUCGUUCGCAAACAUAUACACGUACAAAUAUAUCUAAUUAAUUCUAUCAAGCUUGCAAACAGCUUACCGACCGAAGGGACGCGUCAUAAUUUUGGCCAGUGCCGUCGCAACGGAUUAUAGCUUGUUUAACGAUACAGGGUCCUCUAUCGAAGGGCAGAGGUACUACGAAUUAUUGGCACGCGUCGAUAUUCCCUAUUACGAUCGAACGCAUUCCAAAGAAAUAUUACGUUCGUUUCGCCAUAGUCGAUAGAUCGUUUAUUAUUAUAUCGAAUUUAAAGCGGCUCGUUAUUUUCAGAUAACAAUCGUGCCGUGGGAAAAUGGCCAUUGGUAGAAAAAUGCGAAACGUUCGUUAGCAGUUCGUGUAUACGAUGAUCGCUCGGCUUUUAGCUCUUAAAAUAAGACACUUGUCUCGUUUCGAAAAGUCCCUUUGUCAUUGAUCGUAUCAACGUUGCUCCAACGAUAACGGCCAUUUUUAGAUUCUGUGAAAAAAAGGAGAAGGAUAUCGAGUCGGAAAAUGUAUUAAAAGUCGCAACAAACUUCGAGAAGAGAGAGAGAGAGAGAGAGAGAGAGAGAGAGAGAGAGAGCCGUUAGUACGCGUAACGGCCGUCGUGCGUUGGAGGGUGCGCUCACGUCCCGCGCUCAUCCCCCCGCAUCCUUUCGACCUAUCCUAGGGGCGCCCCCUUCUAACCUCACCCCCGCUCAACGUCCGGUAAACGUAUUCAGCCAACGAGCUACGUUCCCCCUCCCUCGUGACAGCCGGCGCGGCGCCACUGCCGCCUAGCCGGCGAGGCAGGAGCUACCCCCACCACUCGAGCACCGGCAGUCGGUGCGAGUGCAUAGUCGACGCAUAUCGUUGAGAGAGAGAAGCAGGGACGCGCGUUUCCUUCUAGUUUUCUUCUUGCGUUCUAAGACCGUACGCGCGCGCGCGCGCGUGUCUAUAUAAUAUAUAUAUAUAUAUAUAUACGCACACACAUAUAUAUAUAUAUAUGUGUGUGGUCUGUGUAUGGUGUGUAUGUGUGUGUGUGCGUGCGUGCGUCCGUCCUUAGGGCGAAGCAAGCAACGAUCGGUCCUCGAUUUUACCCGAUAACAACGAGUCACUUACUCACCGUGGUCGCCGCGGUCCUACCUUUCGAGAAAGUCAACGAGAAUCGAAAUAGAGAGAAAUUUGGCGCGUCCUCUCGCGCACGCGUGACACGAGAAAGAAGAAGAAGAAGAAGAAGGCCUCAAAGGAUAGGACGAGAAAGAGAAGAAAGAGGAAACGGAUAAAGAAGUAAUAUCCUAAAAGUGGUGUGACCGUGCCUCGUGUACUUCCUGCCUAUCUGUGAAAAAAGACCGAGGAGCAAGAGAGAAAAGUACGUGCGGCAUCUGUCCUUCUUUCUUUCUCUCUUUGGUUUCGCGUGCGGCUGCCAGAGCGCUGCUCGCAGAUCCCUUUCGUCCUUUGUCUCGCGCGUCCCGCUGGCUCUCGCGUUCCGUUUCGUUCCGUGCGUUACCACCGCAAGAAGAGAGAAGAAAGGAAGAAUUCUCGACGAUAACGUUUUUUUGCUUUCUUUUUUUUCUUUUUCUUUAUUCCCUCCUCGCCGGGUAUCCUUUUAGCCGCGUCGCGUAUCGCGUGCUCUCGGAGACCUUGAACUUGCUACCGAGUCGUCCUCGCAGCCGUCGUGCGCGUCGUCUCCUUUCCACGCGCUACUUUGUCUCUCGGCCCAGCGUUUUCGUCGAAAGGAAAGGAGAGAAGGAACUAGAGCGAAAAAAAAGCUACGCGAGAGAUAACGAUCGUUAUCGUGAUACACCGCGAUAUCUGGAUACUUGGAGAAACGGAGAGGGAGAGGGAGAGAGAGAGAGAAAGAGAGAAAGAGAGAGAAAAGCCGAACGCAAGCCAGGGAUCCUGGAAGUUAAGAAGAGUCAGGAUGUUUCCUUACACGACCUUCCCGGCAGUCGGGAUGCAGGUACGAAAUCUGGUUGUCGGACCUGGUGAAGUGACUAUGGACCACCGGGUGCGGGCGCGAACGGUGGACCAACGGUGACCAAGACACGGUGUAUUGUCUAUUGAAAGGAAAGAAGUAAUGUCAAUCCGGUUGGUCUGGUCGUCGUCGAUGGUGUGCGGUAUAGUAGCCCGAAGAGGGACCAUGUUGGAUCUCAAGAUGGCGCAGAACCAGAGAAGCUUAUUUAUUAAGGGUGUCGACGACGACGACGGCGAUG